AUUGAACGCUGGCGGCAGGCUUAACACAUGCAAGUCGAGCGAGCGGCGGACGGGUGAGUAAUGUCUGGGAACCUGCCUGAUGGAGGGGGAUAACUACUGGAAACGGUAGCUAAUACCGCAUACCAUCAGAUGUGCCCAGAGGGGAUUAGCUAGUAGGUGGGGUAAUGGCUCACCUAGGCGACGAUCCCUAGCUGGUCUGAGAGGAUGACCAGCCACACUGGAACGGAGACACGGUCCAGACUCAUACGGGAGGCAGCAGUGGGGAAUAUUGCACAAUGGGCGGAAGACUGAUGCAGCCAGGCCGCGUGUGUGAAGAAGGCAUUCGGGUUGUAAAGCACUUUCAGCGGGGAGGCGUUACUCGCAGAAGAAGCAACGGCUAACUCCGUGCCAGCAGCCGCGGUAAUAC
Molecule: ribosomal RNA, 406 nt
Filed under: uncultured bacterium
Lineage: Bacteria
Description: partial 16S ribosomal RNA
Rfam family: Bacterial small subunit ribosomal RNA
Source: RNAcentral